UCUACGGGAGGCAGCAGUGAGGAAUAUUGGUCAAUGGGCGCGAGCCUGAACCAGCCAAGUAGCGUGAAGGAUGACUGCCCUAUGGGUUGUAAACUUCUUUUAUAAAGGAAUAAAGUGAGGCACGUGUGCCUUUUUGUAUGUACUUUAUGAAUAAGGAUCGGCUAACUCCGUGCCAGCAGCCGCGGUAAUACGGAGGAUCCGAGCGUUAUCCGGAUUUAUUUGGUGUAAAGGGAGCGUAGGUGGGUUGAUAAGGCAGUUGUGAAAGUUUGCGGCUCAACCGUAAAAUUGCAAUUGAUACUGGCAGUCUUGAGUACAGUAGAGGUGGGCGGAAUUCGUGGUGUAGCGGUGAAAUGCUUAGAUAUCACGAAGAACUCCGAUUGCGAAGGCAGCUUACUAAACUGCCACUGACAUUGAUGCUCGAAAGUGUGGGUAUCAAACAGGAUUAGAUACCCCAGUAGUC
RNAcentral lists this ribosomal RNA (460 nucleotides) under uncultured bacterium. RNAcentral's name for it is "partial 16S ribosomal RNA". It matches the Rfam family "Bacterial small subunit ribosomal RNA", at positions 338 to 795 of the family's 1533-position model. The record is from RNAcentral.